Long non-coding RNA from Lolium rigidum, 878 nucleotides. RefSeq lists it as uncharacterized. The record is from RefSeq and is a predicted model, not a curated record. Lineage: Eukaryota; Viridiplantae; Streptophyta; Magnoliopsida; Poales; Poaceae. The transcript is spliced from 4 exons.
GCAAGGAGGUUAGAUUCUGGUUGGCCAAAUAUAGCGUCUCUGCAUGUGAUUCUACAUGGUUUCUGAAGCAAGUUCAUUGUUUGAUCUUCCCUUAGUUCUUUCUCAUUCAUGGCCAUCUAUUUUCGCUUAUUUGUAGUAAUCCAUCACCUUUGCGCAGGCCAUUUUUAUCCCCUUCUCUUCAUUCCCUUGGCUCAAAAAGUCGAUUUUCUGUUCAUGGUGGAAGGGCUGCUUGAAGCAGAUGCUAGAUAGUUGCAGUUUUCUAUGGAAAAUUGUUCCUACUAUAAAAAGAAAUUCUUGAGCGACAGGCUGUUGUUAUGUUUGGCUCUUGCCGUUUCUUCCUUUACCGUGUGCGGGAGGUGCUGCAGUACAUCAACAAAUCUGGACCUGUCAUGGCUUCUCUCCUGCUGGUUGUUCAUGCCCCCAAUUUGUUUGGUUAGUUACCCUUGUUCAUCGGGUAAUCCUGUGUUGUUCUGAGGUGACAAUUGCCCCUCACUUUAUUUGAUCCAUGGGCGAGUUCGGUAGUGAAAACUGGGUGAUUCUUCUCAAUUUUGUGAUGCCCAUGGAAUGAAAAAUCAGGUCACCAAUCAUUCAAUUCAUGCAUCCAUUCCUUUUUUGUACUACAUCCCUCUAGAAAAUCAGGUCACUGGUCUUAUUUAUCUCCUAGAUGUUUUUCUUCUAUCUUAGGUGUGGGCAUUAUAUAAUGUGUUGUGUUGUCCUGGUACUUAGAAUGUUAUUGUUGGCCUCCAAAAAAUCUAAACAUAUGCGUUAGAUUUCAAUGUGCUUUUCAGUGUACUUAAUCAGAGUGUUAAACAUUUCCCCUUAUGGCUGAAACAUUUCGUUCUCAUUUUAGCAUGGCUACUCUGACCAUGAGAGGUAAA